CGUCUUCCGCGCCGGACCGUGUACAAGUCUCCUGGAAGGGAGCAUCGUAGAGGGUGACAAUCCCGUCUCUGACACGGACCGCCGGCGCUGUGCGAUGCGCUCUCGACGAGUCGAGUUGUUUGGGAAUGCAGCUCAAAUCGGGUGGUAAACUCCAUCUAAAGCUAAAUACGGGCGAGAGACCGAUAGCGAACAAGUACCGUGAGGGAAAGAUGAAAAGAACUUUGGAAAGAGAGUUAAACAGUACGUGAAAUUGCUGGAAGGGAAACGCUUGACGUCAGUCGCGUCGUCCGGGGAUCAACCCUGCCUCUGGCUGGGCGUAUUUCCCGGUCGACGGGUCAGCAUCGAUUUCGAUCGUCGUAGAAGGACGGGAGCGAACGUGGCACUCCACGGAGUGUGUUAUAGCCUUCCGUAUGGAUGCGACGGUCGGGAUCGAGGAACUCGGCACGGCCCCUCGAGGGUUCGGGACUUCGGUCCACGCAGCGUGCCCAGGAUGCUGGCGUAAUGGCUUUAAGCGACCCGUCUUGAAACACGGACCAAGGAGUCUAACGUGCCUGCGAGUGUUUGGGUGAAAAACCCGAGCGCGCAACGAAAGUGAAAGUCGAGACCUCCGUCGCGGAGGGCACCGACGCCCGGACCGGAGCCUUUGGCGAUGGAUCUGCGGUAGAGCAUGUAUGUUGGGACCCGAAAGAUGGUGAACUAUGCCUGAAUAGGGCGAAGCCAGAG
RNAcentral lists this ribosomal RNA (723 nucleotides) under Scleroderma sp. Its description in RNAcentral is "eukaryotic LSU rRNA". It matches the Rfam family "Eukaryotic large subunit ribosomal RNA", at positions 159 to 857 of the family's 3401-position model. Lineage: Eukaryota; Fungi; Basidiomycota; Agaricomycetes; Boletales; Sclerodermataceae. The record is from RNAcentral.